Molecule: ribosomal RNA, 17 nt
Filed under: Calluna vulgaris root associated fungus
Lineage: Eukaryota; Fungi
Description: partial 28S ribosomal RNA
Source: RNAcentral
UUUUGACCUCGGAUCAU